This 478-nucleotide ribosomal RNA is filed under the name uncultured bacterium. RNAcentral describes it as "partial 16S ribosomal RNA". It matches the Rfam family "Bacterial small subunit ribosomal RNA", at positions 28 to 507 of the family's 1533-position model. The record is from RNAcentral.
GAUGAACGCUAGCGGCAGGCCUAACACAUGCAAGUCGAGGGAGAAGCCCUUUCGGGGGCCGAAACCGGCGCACGGGUGCGUAACGCGUAUGCAACCUACCUUUCACAGGGGGAUAGCCCGAAGAAAUUUGGAUUAAUACCCCAUAAUAUUAUUGGAUGGCAUCAUUUGAUAAUUAAAACUGCGGUGGUGAAAGAUGGGCAUGCGUCCUAUUAGCUAGUUGGAGUGGUAACGGCACCCCAAGGCUACGAUAGGUAGGGGUCCUGAGAGGGAGAUCCCCCACACUGGUACUGAGACAGGGACCAGACUCCUACGGGAGGCAGCAGUGAGGAAGAUUGGUCAAUGGUCGGAAGACUGAACCAGCCAUGCCGCGUGCAGGAAGAAUGCCUUAUGGGUUGUAAACUGCUUUUAUAGGGGAAGAAUAAGGCGUACGUGUACGUUGAUGACGGUACCAUAUGAAUAAGCAUCGGCUAACUCCGUG